Molecule: small RNA, 29 nt
Filed under: Bombyx mori (domestic silkworm)
Lineage: Eukaryota; Metazoa; Arthropoda; Insecta; Lepidoptera; Bombycidae
Description: ovarian small RNA-34989
Source: RNAcentral
UGGGAAGUUGGGGCCCCACUGGGCUGUGA